RNAcentral lists this ribosomal RNA (249 nucleotides) under uncultured bacterium. RNAcentral's name for it is "partial 16S ribosomal RNA". It matches the Rfam family "Bacterial small subunit ribosomal RNA", at positions 29 to 306 of the family's 1533-position model. The record is from RNAcentral.
AGCGAACGCUGGCGGCAGGCCUAACACAUGCAAGUCGAGCGGGCACCGCAAGGUGUCAGCGGCAGACGGGAGAGUAACACGUGGGAACGUGCCCUUUGGUUCGGAACAACUCCGGGAAACUGGAGCUAAUACCGGAUAAGCCCUUACGGGGAAGAUUAUCGCCAAAGGAGCGGCCCGCGUCCGAUUAGCUAGUUGGUGAGGUAAUGGCUCACCAAGGCGACGAUCGGUAGCUGGCUAAGAGGAUGAUCA